AUGGCAGAACGUCUCCUCGUGGCGGCAGACAGGUAUGAGCUGGACAAGCUGAAGCUCGCUUGCGAGGAUGCGCUAUGCAAGAUCAUAGACACGAGCUCCGUGGCCGCUACCCUGGCGUUGGCCGAGCGUCACGGCUGCCCGGCGCUGAAGGAGGCGUGUAUGCAGUUUCUCUCUUCUCCUGAUAACCUGAAGGCCGUCAUGGCGUCUGACGGUUUCGAGCAGCUCAAGACGGGCUGCCCCUCCGCCCUGCUGGAGCUCCUCGUGAAGAACAUGCCAACACAUCAUGAGCAGCCACCAAUUAGUACCAGCAGCCAGCUAUUUAGUUACGCCAAUCAUGAGACAAAGUGA
Molecule: ribosomal RNA, 348 nt
Filed under: Triticum aestivum (bread wheat)
Lineage: Eukaryota; Viridiplantae; Streptophyta; Magnoliopsida; Poales; Poaceae
Description: partial small subunit ribosomal RNA
Source: RNAcentral